Molecule: long non-coding RNA, 305 nt
Filed under: Sinocyclocheilus grahami
Lineage: Eukaryota; Metazoa; Chordata; Actinopteri; Cypriniformes; Cyprinidae
Description: lncRNA (ENSSGRG00000005724.1)
Source: RNAcentral
CAUGAGGAUGAGAUGUAACGCGCUGCUGGAGCGUCGUGCCAUUGGCGAGCGCUGAUAACGCGUCCCUCGUUCGGACAGCAUGAAUUACACAUAGGCGUCUCACACAUGCUUCUGGACCAUGAGUGAUGAGUCUCCGUUACAGACGCGCCUCACCACUGACGUGCCGCUGGCAUCCGGCUCUCAGGAGAACUAUGUCCUGCUGCUGGUGCUGCUGUGUGUGUUCGCCGGCGGGACGCUGGUCCUCCUGUCCAUCCUGCUGGUCUUCUGUCAUCGCUGCUGUCGAGGAGAGCGACGCUAUUCCAGGU